RNAcentral lists this unclassified non-coding RNA (190 nucleotides) under rhizosphere metagenome. RNAcentral describes it as "partial ribosomal RNA internal transcribed spacer region". The record is from RNAcentral.
GAGACGUUGCCCUUCGGGGUAUACCUCCCACCCUUUGUUUAUACAUACCAUUGUUGCUUUGGCAGGCCCGGCUUCGGCCCACCGGCUCCGGCUGGUCCGCGUCUGCCAGAGGAAACCCAAACUCUGUUUGUUAAUAUUGUCUGAGUACUAUAUAAUAGUUAAAACUUUCAACAACGGAUCUCUUGGUUCU